CAAGUCGAGCGGAUGAAGAGAGCUUGCUCUCUGAUUCAGCGGCGGACGGGUGAGUAAUGCCUAGGAAUCUGCCUGGUAGUGGGGGACAACGUUUCGAAAGGAACGCUAAUACCGCAUACGUCCUACGGGAGAAAGCAGGGGACCUUCGGGCCUUGCGCUAUCAGAUGAGCCUAGGUCGGAUUAGCUAGUUGGUGAGGUAAUGGCUCACCAAGGCGACGAUCCGUAACUGGUCUGAGAGGAUGAUCAGUCACACUGGAACUGAGACACGGUCCAGACUCCUACGGGAGGCAGCAGUGGGGAAUAUUGGACAAUGGGCGAAAGCCUGAUCCAGCCAUGCCGCGUGUGUGAAGAAGGUCUUCGGAUUGUAAAGCACUUUAAGUUGGGAGGAAGGGCAGUUACCUAAUACGUGAUUGUUUUGACGUUACCGACAGAAUAAGCACCGGCUAACUCUGUGCCAGCAGCCGCGGUAAU
RNAcentral lists this ribosomal RNA (471 nucleotides) under uncultured bacterium. RNAcentral describes it as "bacterial SSU rRNA". It matches the Rfam family "Bacterial small subunit ribosomal RNA", at positions 58 to 524 of the family's 1533-position model. The record is from RNAcentral.